RNAcentral lists this ribosomal RNA (434 nucleotides) under uncultured Lachnospiraceae bacterium. RNAcentral describes it as "bacterial SSU rRNA". It matches the Rfam family "Bacterial small subunit ribosomal RNA", at positions 341 to 792 of the family's 1533-position model. The record is from RNAcentral. Lineage: Bacteria; Bacillati; Bacillota; Clostridia; Lachnospirales; Lachnospiraceae.
ACGGAAGGCAGCAGUGGGGGAUAUUGCACAAUGGGGGAAACCCUGAUGCAGCGACGCCGCGUGAGUGAAGAAGUAUUUCGGUAUGUAAAGCUCUAUCAGCAGGGAAGAAAAUGACAGUACCUGACUAAGAAGCACCGGCUAAAUACGUGCCAGCAGCCGCGGUAAUACGUAUGGUGCAAGCGUUAUCCGGAUUUACUGGGUGUAAAGGGAGCGUAGACGGAUGGCUAAGUCUGAUGUGAAAGGUGAGGGCUCAACCCUUAAACUGCAUUGGAAACUGGUCAUCUAGAGUGUCGGAGAGGUAAGUGGAAUUCCUAGUGUAGCGGUGAAAUGCGUAGAUAUUAGGAGGAACACCAGUGGCGAAGGCGGCUUACUGGACGAUAACUGACGUUGAGGCUCGAAAGCGUGGGGAGCAAACAGGAUUAGAUACCCUGGUA